Long non-coding RNA from Aphis gossypii (cotton aphid), 1902 nucleotides. RefSeq lists it as uncharacterized. The record is from RefSeq and is a predicted model, not a curated record. Lineage: Eukaryota; Metazoa; Arthropoda; Insecta; Hemiptera; Aphididae. The transcript is spliced from 2 exons.
UUCAUUAUUCUUAUUUUUUCGUUAUGAUUUUUCCUCACUUGUUUUUCGUCCAUUAUUCGGACAAGUCCUUCUUUUUUUAGGGGUAAUACCCACUAUAUAGUUUAGUUACGUAACAGCCUUUUUUCCAAACCUCGUGUUAGGUACCUUUUUUAUGUUUUUGGCUGUGAUCAACUCUGGUUUCUUGUCUAUUGUCUGGUUGUCGCUUUACCAGCAAUAAAACAACUUUGGCACCUAGUGUCUGUUGGUCCAGCAUUUGUAAAAGGUGCAUGGUGUCUGUUACUUGUUAGCUGUGUUGUGUCGGCCACGUAAGUUAUUAUUUUAUUGUAAUUGUGGGAGCUGCAGCUCAAUAUUGAUUAUAAAUAUUUUUUACCUCAGUAUUAUUUGUAUUAUGUUAUUAAGGCCGUCUGAGGCAUAUUAUAUAUAUUAUUUUAUUAAGGCCGUCUAAGGCAUAUUAUAUAUAUUAUUAUAUUAAGGCCGUCUGAGGCAUGUUAAAUAUGUUGUUAUAAAAAGGCCGUCUAAGGCAUAUUAUAUAUAUUGUUAUAAAAAGGCCGUCUGAGGCAUAUUAUUUAUUAUUUUAUUAAGGCCACCUGAGGCAAAACUCAUAUUAAUUAGUUCAUAAAUUGUUCCUUUUUUCUUUCUCUAUUUGAUCUCUAAAUCAACACAUUUUGUUACCACUACAUUAUAACCUUUAUAUAUAUUUAUUUAUAUUCAUUCUUAAAUUAUAUUGCCAACCAGGCAGUCCAUUUGUUUAUAUUAUUUGCAUUUAUUUAAUUAUUUAAUUUUACCUAUUCUUUAUACAGUCCAUUCACAUUUUAUUUAUUGGCGACAAGUUUCUUCCACUAUUUAUUAUUGUGGUCAACUUAUGCGCCCACACUUUGAAUCUUAAUUUUCACCAAAGUACGUAUAAUAAUAUUAUGGUCUAUGAAUACCAUUAUUAUUGUAAUUAUAUUUUUAUUUUCCUGUUUAGUGAUAAUAAUAAAUAAUAGUAAUACACGAUUUUUUAAAUAGUACUUGUUGGCUCGCCUUCAGCUUUAAUAAUAAUAAUAGAUUAAUGGGCCUUAGCGGCCGGGAGGGUAGGUAACUUAUUGCACUACCGUCCCAUGAAUAUAAUAAAAGGCAAUGGUUGUAUUGGAUUACAUAAAAUUUGUAUAAUAAUAAUUUGACCACUUGGUCCAACAAAUGAAUAACAUUAUAGUUACAAUUUAUCACAGACCAGUAGGGGUAAUAUCAGUCAAUCUUAAUAAUAUCAUACAACAAUAGUAUACUAAAAUAAUACUAAUAAUAAUAAUAAUGACCCGUCGGUCAAAUGACUAGUUAUAAUAAAUAUGAGAUAAUAUGGUACACCACAUACCCUUGGGGUUAUGGCGUCUUGAGGUGCCGGGAUCCGUAUAAUAAUAAUCAGUUUAAAUACAAUAAAAAGUACAAGAUUGAUCCCACACACACUCAAGAACGCCGCUAACCUCAACACGAAGAAACGAAGAACACUCACAAUACACACUGCUACAGCGGACACACAACUCAACAAACCACGAGAAACACAGUCUUCUGCUGGUAAUCAAUGACCGCCCUAAACUAGGGGAAAAACAAUUAAAUGAUUGGCAAUAAAUGCGCGAACGAUAUUUACCAGACAGAAGAAUUCACAAAACACAAGAAAAACGUGGUUUGACAGCUGCAGCAGGAACAAGAAAAACAGUAUGGCACGGGCGCACGGCUUGCUGCUUGCUGGAUAGUGGACAGCGGACAAAAGUAAAGUGCACGAAUUUACAUAUAAGUAUUAAAGUAUAUAACGGACAGGACUACAAAAAUAAAAAUAAAUAGACAAUGAUAUAGUUUCAAAUAAUUUGUAUUAUUAUUUUGUAUUUGUUUGAUUAUUUAAAUACAAUAAUUAUACAUAAAACCAGA